Coturnix japonica (Japanese quail) is the source of this 561-nucleotide long non-coding RNA. RefSeq lists it as uncharacterized. NCBI's taxonomy places the organism in Eukaryota, Metazoa, Chordata, Aves, Galliformes, Phasianidae. The record is from RefSeq and is a predicted model, not a curated record.
UUGGCUAAAAUAUCUUAAUCACUUCUGAGAAAACACAGUCUGUAUUUGAUUAGUAUUUCACAUGCUAUCCUGUCAGAGAAGCAGGUAGUACUAUCAGUGUAGAAACCCCACUCUCUUAUUUUCUAGUCUGAAAAGACUGGAGAUACAAAAUGCUUUGCCCUUUCUUAACCUAUGUGACUGAAAUGCAGAAAAACAUAAAACAAGAUAACUCGAUUGGAUUUAUGCCACACAUCACAUUCACCUAAUUUACAAAUACUUAUUUCACAGACUUGCCUGGAAGCCAUGCAGUACAGCAACAAAGUAUAAGACUUCUUAGUAUUAGUCAGAGUCUGAUUAUAGCAAGGUGUGAAAUUGGUGUAAUCAGUUGUGAAAUCCCUACUUCACUUUCAUCCAUUCCUCCCCAAAAAGCUCUCUGCAAGCCAAUUAAGAGUAAUUAGCUCAUCAAAGAAAGAUGAGGGGUUUUUCUGAUUCUCCAUGUAUUUAAUUCAGGUUUGUAAUGUCUGUCUCCUGUUAGCAGAAAUGUGUUAGCAAUCCAAUUAUACAUUUCCAAGGGAAAUACUG